Molecule: long non-coding RNA, 202 nt
Organism: Thalassophryne amazonica
Lineage: Eukaryota; Metazoa; Chordata; Actinopteri; Batrachoidiformes; Batrachoididae
Exons: 3
Source: RefSeq, a predicted model, not a curated record
GAUUUUCUCCCUCAGGCAAUUCUGUGUCCUCAAAAUAAAUAACCAAAAAUAAAUGACCAAUGUCCACAUUUGCUUCUUUACAUAUUAGCACCUUAUCUACACAAACAUGUCGUAUUACUUUGCAAACUUAUUCUUCUCUGUCUUUUUUUUUCUCUUGCAAUUAUAACAUCAAAAUCCUGUCAGCACCAUAUCACAGCAAAGG